UGAGGAAUAUUGCACAAUGGGGGCAACCCUGAUGCAGCAACGCCGCGUGAACGAUGAAGGCCUUCGGGUUGUAAAGUUCUUUUCUGAGGGAAGAUAAUGACGGUACCUCAGGAAUAAGUCCCGGCUAACUACGUGCCAGCAGCCGCGGUAAAACGUAGGGGGCGAGCGUUAUCCGGAUUUAUUGGGCGUAAAGCGCACGUAGGUGGCCCUGUAAGUUGGACGUGAAAGCUCUCGGCUCAACUGAGAGAGGUCGUUCAAAACUGCAGGGCUCGAGGUUGGAAGAGGAGAGUGGAAUUCCCGGUGUAGUGGUGGAAUGCGUAGAUAUCGGGAGGAACACCAGUGGCGAAGGCGGCUCUCUGGUCCACACCUGACACUGAGGUGCGAAAGCGUGGGGAGCGAACGGGAUUAGAUACCCCCGUAGUCC
Molecule: ribosomal RNA, 424 nt
Filed under: uncultured prokaryote
Description: bacterial SSU rRNA
Rfam family: Bacterial small subunit ribosomal RNA
Source: RNAcentral